RNAcentral lists this transfer RNA (89 nucleotides) under Klenkia taihuensis. RNAcentral's name for it is "tRNA-Pro". Lineage: Bacteria; Bacillati; Actinomycetota; Actinomycetes; Geodermatophilales; Geodermatophilaceae. The record is from RNAcentral.
UCCCGGGUGCCGCGGUGCGGGUCAGCGGCCGGGGGUCGGUGCUGGCCGACGUCGAGGCCGGCCCGGCGAUCGUGGUCGCCACCCCGGGU